UUCAUCAUGCGACUUAAUAAGGUAGAAUUGUAAUACUGGCUACAAUUCAGAUGGUGACAGGUGGCAGAGCAAGCACACAAUGGAAUUUUCCAUCUGUUCUCUACUUUCUAUCCAAGGCUCAAAGAGCAGAGUGUGUUUUGUUAUAUACUCUUCAAACACUUUUCUCCAUCUAAACACCAUUUAAAAAUAUUUUUAUACUUCAGCUUACAGGAGACUUACAAAUCUUGAAGGUCAAAAUCUCCUGCUCAUCUCACCUUUUUUUUGUGAAAGCACACUGGCUCAUUCCUUAUGAAGAGUUGAAUUCUGGCUUGGGCUUUUGUACUUUAUCUCGGGAAAAUAUCAUAGCUUCCAACAGUUUUACAAAAAGCAGAAUGUAUGUAUCCAUAAAGAGUAAAACAUAUAAAGAGGAUUGGUUUACUUUGUACUCAUUGAAUUGCUAAAGGCAUUAAAGACAGCCUCACUUUGUUAUUAUUAAUAGUUUUGCAGGGUUUAGAUUUUGAUGGUACUCAUUAUAGAAGCAAGAUUAUAAGACUAAUAAAGAGCAUAACUUAUAGAUGGAGGGUUGCCAGUUUUAAAUUUUGUAUAUAAGGGGAAGUAUUGUCUAUUUUGGAUGAAAAUGGUGAGAUUUUGAAUUAAAAUUUUAGUUUUUUUCCUAUUUAAUUUUCCAUGAACCCCUCUUCAUACUCCAUUUUAAUGCAGUAAAGUUUACAAACCAUGGAAGAGGCCAUAGAAGAGGCAGAAAAUAUGUUGUUAUAAUUUUUUAGGGAAAUUUCCUUCUUUCUCUGAGCACUUGGGAAGUACUCUUAGUAAAUAUUAAAAACUAUAUUUUCAUCUGUUUAAUUGUAAGUGAAUUUAUCUGAGUGAAUGGGUAAAAUCUAGCAAUUCCAUUUUUCUUCAACAAUUAUUAAAUACUUAAUAUAUGUAAGGUUCUGGGCUAUGUACUGUAUACAUGUGCAAAUUUAAAAAUGUCUCUGUUGUUGAGAAGCUUGCAGAGUUUCUAGGAUGAAAGAGCAAAUAAAGAAAUAAUGCAUCUAAGGCAGGGAAGAUAAACUGGGAUUCAGCUGUGUCCCAGUGGCCCCCAAACCUGGAUAUCCCAGAAAGAUCAUCUAGGGUACUUACUAAACUUACAGAUGGGUCUGGGUUUUGUCAAAGGCAGCUCUGAUUCUAAAAAUCAGGGUCGGCUGGGGUUAAUUUAAAAGAUGACCCAGAUGAUGCUGAACAGAGAUCCAUGAAAAGGUUUCAGAGAUCCUGAAGAAGGAGAAGUGAAAGAUCUCUCCUUGAUUUGGUAAGCAACAGGAAGAUUUUUGAAAAGAUAAAUGAUAUAUUAACAGAAGAGUGCUUUUAUAAGAUUCUUCUGGCCUGAGAAAGAAUAUACCAUAGCACUGAAAAUGCAGUAUAGAAGAGGGACAUGUGAAAUAAACAUUGGACAUGUUGAAUGGUUAAGGCUUGGCAAGAAGUUGGGGGCAUGGGACCAAGGAAGAUUGGGGUAUUUUUGACAACAGUUUCUACUGGAGUAAUAGAGAUGUUGGAAUGGACAGUGGAAUAAUGCACAUAGGUAGUCAACUGGCUACUGAGUUUGACCUAUAACAUCAAAUCGAUUUUAUCUGUGUUGAAUUUAAGGUUCUAAAAGACCACCUCGACAGAGAUGACUAUUAGAUACUAAUGCUAACACCUCUGACAGUCAAAAAUGAGAAAGAUUUUGGAUGAUAAAGUAUUCUAGUUUAAAACAUAGAUGAUCUCUGAGAGAGACUAUGGAAAAGCAAUUAAGACUAAUAAUUUUGCCAAGAUCUGUAUUAUGAAUCAGGAGAGAGUAAUCUCUAUAGAAAAAGGUAUGGUAGAGGUCAGUCAGAGAAUUUAAAAAACUGGGUAUAAUUGGCAAUGUGAAACACUCCAGAACAGCUGAAGAAGGUGAGACUUAAAGUUUGGACUUCCUGUGUGAGAAGUCAGUAAUUACUAGAGGAAGGAUAUUUCUCAUUUGCAAUCCUGGAACAAAACAAAAUACAACUGAUUAAGGGAUGAGUGACUAGUUAUCAAGAGGAGGCAGAGGUGUAGAAAGCAUUUAUUUCUUAUUUUGUUGUGGAAGAGAACAGUAGAGCAAGAAAUUAAUAAAAUACUAGUGAGGAAAAGCAUAGCUGAAAGAACUAUACCCAAGAAAGCUAGGUGUACGUGUGAGAGAGAGAGUGUGUGUGUGUGCGCAUGUGCAUGUGCAUGCUCGUGUGCAUGUAUGUGUAGAAACAGUUUGCUACUGCAUUGGCAAGGUGGGAGGUGUUCUUUCUCAGAAAAAAAAAUCAGUGAGUGAAGAAAGGAAAUAAAAAUGCUAGGAAAGUGUGGCUAAAAUACAUUAAACUUUAUGGGGCUUGACUGACAGUAUAGUAACAUCCUGAAUAUAUGGGGCAGAAAAGGAUUCUUACAUAACCUUGAUAUUUUGAGCUUGAUAACUCACGAAAAGGUGAUGCUAUUACAAGGGUAAGAAGAAAGGAUACAGAUUGCAUUGAGGAGAAAGAUGAUGUAACCUCCUUGGGUGAUGGGGUUUCUGGGUGCCAUGAAGGUGUACCUGAAAGAUUUGUCCAGGCAAUUAAGUGACUAUAAUCAAGAGCCAACAUAUUCACUGAAACUCACUUAAUAGUCAUUUGCAAAGAAGUGGGGGUUGAAACUGGGGAAUACAAUAAAACAAAGGACAAACCAGGGAAAAAGAGGGGAAGAAGUUUAGUACUUAUAAUUUUUUGACAUACAGGGGAUUAGGUAGAGUGUUAGGCAAGGAUGAAACUGGGAAGGAGCAGAAAUAAAGAAAAGAGAGAAUCCUGGAGCUAUACAUGACAUCUAAGAGAGGAGACAGUUCAAGGAGAUGACAGUUUUUAAUUAUAACAAACAUAGCCAAUAUUAAGAAUAAAGGAAAAAUUUUAGAAUAUAUAAACCCCAUAUAUAUAAAAACCUCAUGGUUUUUAAUGUCAUCGGAUGUCUUCAAUGAAAGCUAUUUUAACUAAGUAGAAAAAAAGGAAACUAGACUAAAAUAGGUUGAAGGGAGAGUGUCAGACAAAUAGCAAAUGUGGAAACCACUGAAUAUAGACUUUUUUGUGAAAUUUUGAUUGUGGGGAACUACAAGGUAAUACAUGAGAGUUUUUAAAUAUAAAAAACAAGUUGAAAUAAAGCUUAGAUGUAGAGAAAAAUCUUUACUAAUCCUACCACUGCCAUGCUAUGCUCCAUCACUAAGUGCUAUAUUUCCUUGUUUCUAUCAUGUACAUUUUCACUUUUAUUAUGGCAAUGCUUUUUAAAAGAUGGUAUUAAACAGAUUUUAUAAAAGAAAGUAUCUUACAGUGGAGGAAUAUAUAGUUAAUUUUCCCAUGGAAAGCUUUUCUCAAGUAUAGGAAUGGGAGAAGGGAAACUGAGAAGGAGAAACAGAAGAUAAAAGCUAUGAAGGGGGAGUUCUUCUGUUGUGCAGUGGGUUAAGGAUCUGGCAUUGUCUUUGCAACAGUUGUGUUGCCGCUGUACAUGGGUUUCACCCCUGGCCCAGGAACUUCUGCAUGCUGUGGGCAUGGCAAAAAAAAAAAAAGAAAGGAGCAAAGUUCCCAAAAGAGAUUUGAUAAGAGAAGUUCAAAAACAGAAGUGGGUUUGCAAACAGGUGGGAUAUGUUCCCCUUUACACACAGGAAGAUGUUGGAAUUGAGAAAUAUGAGGAGUUUGGCAGCCAGGAUAUAGGGACUGGCACCCUCCUGGAUCUUAAAAUCAGCAAGAUUGUUGGCACCAUGGUCUUCUAUAAAUGUUGCAAUUGUUUCAUAAUAAUUGUUUAUGUGUGGAGAACUGCAUGAAUCCUCCAGUCAAACUCUCAGCAUUUAUUGAUUUGGCUUUUCCUACAAUUACUCUGCUACAGAAGAACAGAAUCCUAGAUUAUUGGAUAAGGUGAAGCUUUCAGCAAUUCUAGCUAGGCUGUUAUUGCUUUUCUUAUCUAUUGUAGACUUUGUGCACAGAGUAACCAAGUUAUGUACAGGGAAUUUUACAAUCACAUGCCAGAAUUUGGUUCUAAAGUAUUAUUCAUUUCUCAAAAUAUUACUUCUAGUCUUUUGUGAGAAUCAGCAGUAUCUUGUUAUUUACAGUGGUGAUAAUAUGAAAAUUGCUUUAGUAUGCCAUAAACAUAUUCAGUGUCUCCAAAAGUUUCCUCCUAUCAUCUUUAUUUAUUACUCUCUGUGUAUGUGUAUAUAGGAGCACUUAACCUAAGAUCUGUCCUCUUAGCAAAUGUCCAGGUAUUUAAUACAGCAUUGCCAGGGAUCGAACCCACACCUUCAUGGUUCCUAGUUGGAUUCGUUAACCACUGAGCCAUGACAGGAACUCCGAGGGAAUGUAAGUUGGUAUAGCCACUGUGGAAAACAAAGCGGAAAUUUCUCAUAAAACUAAAAAUAGAAGACAUGCACUCCUGAGCAUAUUUCUGGACAAAACUAUAAUUCAAAAAGGUACAUGCACUCUUAUGUUCAUAGCAGCACUAUUUACAAUAGCCAAGACAAGGAAAUAAUCUAAAUGUCCAUUGACAGAUGAAUGGAUUAAGAAGAUGUAGUACAGGAGUUCCCAUCGUGGCUCAGUGGUUAACGAAUCCGACUAGGAACCAUGAGGUUGCGUGUUCAAUCCCUGGCCUUGCUCAGUAGGUUUAGGAUCUGGCAUUGCCGUGAGUGGUGGUGUGGAUUGCAGACACAGCUCAGGUCUGGCAUUGCUGUGGCUCUGCAGCCACAGUUCUGAUUAGACACCUAGCCUGGGAACCUCUGUUUGCUGCGGGUGCAGCCCUAG
RNAcentral lists this long non-coding RNA (4772 nucleotides) under Sus scrofa (pig). RNAcentral describes it as "lncRNA (ENSSSCG00060035910.1)". Lineage: Eukaryota; Metazoa; Chordata; Mammalia; Artiodactyla; Suidae. The record is from RNAcentral.